Small nucleolar RNA from Prunus persica (peach), 211 nucleotides. It matches the Rfam family "Plant small nucleolar RNA U3". From Rfam's summary of the family: Small nucleolar RNAs (snoRNAs) are involved in the processing and modification of rRNA in the nucleolus. The record is from Rfam. NCBI's taxonomy places the organism in Eukaryota, Viridiplantae, Streptophyta, Magnoliopsida, Rosales, Rosaceae.
ACGACCUUACUUGGACAGGAUCUGUUCUAUAGGAUCGUACCUCUGUAUCCUUGAUUUCUAAGGAGACAGGAAUCCCAACCUGGUGGAUGAAUCAUGACCGUGCGAUCAGAGCGUGAUUAACAGCUUCUGAUUCUUCGGAAUCAUUAAGCAGUAGAGGAUCGUUCUCAGCUGGGUGACUGGCUGGGGUGGUCGCACGGUUGUCUGACAGGUU